RNAcentral lists this ribosomal RNA (523 nucleotides) under uncultured bacterium. RNAcentral describes it as "bacterial SSU rRNA". It matches the Rfam family "Bacterial small subunit ribosomal RNA", at positions 65 to 567 of the family's 1533-position model. The record is from RNAcentral.
UACGCGAAGACCCCGCAAGGGGUGUAUAGCGUGGCAAACGGGUGAGUAACGCGUGGGCGACCUGCCUUCGAGUGGGGGAUAACCUUCCGAAAGGAGGGCUAAUACCGCAUGACAUACCGUGUUUGGAUACAUGGAUAUCAAAGCCGGGGAUCGCAAGACCUGGCGCUUGAAGAGGGGCCUACGUCCGAUUAGCUAGUUGGUGGGGUAAUGGCUCACCAAGGCGACGAUCGGUAUCCGGCCUGAGAGGGCGGACGGACACACUGGGACUGAGACACGGCCCAGACUCCUACGGGAGGCAGCAGUAGGGAAUUGUUCGCAAUGGGCGCAAGCCUGACGACGCAACGCCGCGUGGAGGAUGAAGGGCUUCGGCUCGUAAACUCCUUUCGACCGAGAUGAAUACCCUCCGGCCUAAUAUGCCGGAGGACUGACAGUAUCGAGGGAAGAAGCCCCGGCUAACUCCGUGCCAGCAGCCGCGGUAAUACGGGGGGGGCAAGCGUUGUUCGGAAUUACUGGGCGUAAAGGG